CAACAGAGGAAUAAGGGUCUCACAUAAAACAUUGCACAAAAUGCAGAGAUGACUCUAAAUUAAGAGCUAUAAGAAAAAUCAAAGGUGAUACCCCUCCACAGUGAAGUACACCUCUUAAGCGAAAUCAAAGGUGAUACCCCUCCACAGUGAAGUACACCUCUUAAGCAAAAUCAAAGGUGAUACCCCUCCACAGUGAAGUACACCUCUUAAGCGAAAUCAAAGGUGNN
This 227-nucleotide long non-coding RNA is filed under the name Vigna radiata. Its description in RNAcentral is "long non-coding RNA (VRAD_LNC006212)". The record is from RNAcentral. Lineage: Eukaryota; Viridiplantae; Streptophyta; Magnoliopsida; Fabales; Fabaceae.